CCUUGAUCUAAGCAUUUUGCAUCUCUGCUGUAAAAGAAUCUUGUUUAUUCUUUUUAAAUGUUUAUUUAUUUUGAGCGAGAGUGCUCCCAUGAGUGCGAGCAGGGGAGGGGCAGAGAGAGAGCGAGCCCAAUUUGGGGCUUUAUCUCAUGACCCUGAGAUCUUGACCUGAGCUGAAAUCAAUAGUUGGACCCUUAACUAUCUGAGCCACCCAGGCACCCCAAGAAUCUUGUUUAUUUUAAUGCGUGAUGUGUUCCUAUCUCUCAGUCAAAUUGGGAGACAGAACGGUCUAGUGGGAAAAAAGACAAAACAAAACUAUGGGCUUUGGAGUAAUAGUAGAUCGCCUUUGCUGACUUCUGACUAUGUAGUGAGGACAGUUGACGUGUACUAGCUUGUAGUAAUCCUAUAAGUACUACCGAUGUUUUAUUGUACAGAUGGCAAAAUGAGGGUUUAGAGAGAUCAGAUAACUCGACUGAGGUCAGGGGUGCCUGGGUGGCUCGGUUGGGUCAGCACCUGACUCUUGAUCUCAGCUCAGGUCUUGAUCUCAGGGACAUGAGUUUGAACCCAUACCGGGCAUGGAGCCUACUUUAAAAAAAAAACAAAACUUGCCUGAGGUCACACAGCUAGUAAGUAGGGGGAGUUAAAGAAUAGAGCCCGGCAGUGGGACUCCAGAGCCCAGGUUGUCAGUGACUCCCCCAGAGGGUCACAAUAUUGCUCAGUCUCUGAGCCACAAGAUCCUCAUCUGUAAAAUGGGGAUAAAUACGUAUCAUGCCAAGUGGUGAAAUGAAAGAGAAUAUAUAAAGAAUCUGGCAGGUAAUAGAUACUUAGAUAUUGGCUGUCAUUGUUACCAUGUUUGUAGCCUGCCAAAUGGUUCCUCUGAUUACAACUGGGGUGUGGACCCUGACAGCAUGUAGAGAAAUAAACAUCUUGGCCCCUCGACAAACAAGCUCUGUGAUAAUUGGGGAAGUCGCUUAAUAUCCCUGAACACAUACCUCAUUUGUAAAGUGGAGGAGAUAAUAAUAAUACUUCUCUAUUAGGGUUGUUGUAAGGAUCAGAUGAGAUCACGUGACCAUGCCUGGCACAUAGAACAUGUUCAGUAAAUGUUAACUCUUACUAUUUAUUAAGGGUACGUUUUUUGUAAAGGAAGGCUCUUGUGAAUGGUAGUGCUGGGGUUGUGAAAGCAGGGUAUGGCGGUGGAGGUCCCCCUCUAUUGGAGGGGCUGUUUCAGAACGUUUUCCAAAGGCAGUUAGUGUCUUUUGAUUUAAAAACAAAUAUUAGAAAAAGCAGGUCUGUUCAAUAUAUGAUGGAGAGAAUAGCGGUUUGGCUCUAAAACCCCCAAUGAAGGUACUAGAACAUUGUGUAGUUUUAUGCUCUAAUCUCCCAAACCAGGUUCAUCCCUCUGAUGCUAAAACUUCGGUAUUCUCUCAGAGGAGAAGGCAAGGGAGACUUGAAAUGUAUUGCUCUUCCCCUGCUGUGACACUCCUGACCCUACACUCUAUGUCAAGAACUGCAGACCAAACUCCAAAGUCUCCAGGAUUCAGGCCUCAUGUGGAUCUGCCUGUGGGGCUGGUGGGGCGGGUCCUAGGCCUAGCACCAACCCUGAAGGGCAAUUUUCAGCACAGCAGGGCCUCACAUCAUCCUCCUGGACACUCCUCGGAGAAUUUAGGGUGCUUGGAAACCCACACGGCGGCCCAGCACUGACGCGGGUUUCUUGGGGCAGAGCCACGCCUGGCUCACCUUUCUGUCGCCGCUCACGUAUGCGGUUUGUAGCCUCGGAUUGGAUUGGACAACAAGGCCCGAGAUCCUUCUUGGCUACAUGGGUUGGUCUGUAACCUCCCAUCUCCAUCCCCUCUGUGCCCUGCUUGAGGACUCCAGUAAGCCCCACCUACCAGUCGCCAAGCACACUAGGGAGUGAAAGGAAGUCCCAGAGAGGUAAGGGAGACAGUUUGUAGUAAGGGAAGAACAGAAGAAAUGGGAGGGAGCGUGCUCAGUGAAUGCCAGCUGGUUCUUAGAUGCGCUCCAGCCCGGCCUGUUUAUCUCGUGAGCUUCAGAAGGCAAGCCGCCCCCGCCCGCCAUGGCUCCUUCCCCGUGUGAUGACAUCUUUCCUUGAUCCCACUGACAGAGCAUUGCUGUUGAGUUGGUGUGGAUGCUGCUGAACGCUCACUGUCACCUUCUGUAUUCAUCUUGGGGAGCAGUAACCCAGCCUGUCGGGGCCUCCUGCACAGACCGCCCUUUGAAUGGUGUUCUGAGCCUUCAGUGACGCUGGCAGCGAUGAUGCAUUACAAAACCAAACAAAUUAUUCCUCGGGACAGACGACCCGGGGGCAAAUCAACCACCACAACAGAAAAGACAAGCUUUCAAACCAAGGAGAGAAGACAAGAUUGUAAUGCCUUCCUAACAACCUUGCUUUAUUGAUGCAAUGCAAGGAAAACUACAUUAGAUUCUAUUGAUUCUCUUUGAGAUCUAAUAAUAUGCUCUAUUCAGAUCUUAUUCACAUACACUUCCUCCACAGUCUUUCUCAGGAGCUGAAAUUGGCCAGUUACAAACAGAAUUUGUUCUCCCGUCCUUUGAAAUCACAGAAGCGGACGUGUUUUCGAACACAAAAGAUACGAAGCUUUCUUUGGGAAACAAAGCAUAGUGGGGAAAAAUAUCUCCCCUCUAAACAAAAUUGAAAGCAUGCCUUACUUCAGAUUUAUUUGAUUACAGAAUCUUCCUCGGGGCUAAUCAGUUUUCGAACCCAUUUCUAUUGGCACCAGUGAGCUAAUAAAAAACCCAGAAGGAGAGAAGUAUCACAACAACUCAGAGAAACUAGGUUGUUCAUUUAAAAAAAAAAAAAAAAGCAUUGAAUUAAUGUUUACACUGCUGAGUCAAAUUAUUUAUAUGUAUGCUAUAGGUUUUGCAUCCCCAGAAUUUGUUAGCAUUCAGAGUAUGAUAAAUUGUACCUGGCUGACUUGUGAAAAACCAUCUCAAGAAAGAUUUUUUUUUUUUUCCAGUGGGAAAAUAUAUGGAUGACACACGGUGGCUUAUUGAAACUGUUCUUUGGGUGAACAGCCAGAACAAUUCAGCAGAAGGGAGAGGCGGAUUUACAAAUUAUUAUUUUUUAUUUUUUGAGAGAGAGAAUGAGCAGGGGAGGGGCAGAGAGACAGGCAGAGAGAGAAUCCCAAGCAGGCUCCACACCAUCAGCACAGAACCCGAUGCAGGGCUCGAACUCACGAACCAUGAGAUCAUGACCUGAGCCGAAACCAGGAGUCAGACGCUCAACUGACAGAGCCCCCCAGGCGCCCCAAGGAGAGGCGGGGUCUUGGAUGUCACCGUGGAUGAUUAAGAAUUUUGGCUUUGGGGCAGUGUUGUAAUAAUGCUCAUCAGGUAACUUCUGUACCUCGUCUGCAUCUCUACAGUAGGUUGGAAACUCAGGGUUUUCUGCAAAUAUUCAAAGCAAUAAAACACACAGUACUACAGGAGCCCGUCCAGAGUUAAGAAUCUAAUAAAUGUCAGCUUUUGUAUCCUUGUUA
Long non-coding RNA from Acinonyx jubatus (cheetah), 3509 nucleotides. RefSeq lists it as uncharacterized. NCBI's taxonomy places the organism in Eukaryota, Metazoa, Chordata, Mammalia, Carnivora, Felidae. The transcript has 5 exons. The record is from RefSeq and is a predicted model, not a curated record.